RNAcentral lists this ribosomal RNA (245 nucleotides) under uncultured Ferruginibacter sp. Its description in RNAcentral is "partial 16S ribosomal RNA". It matches the Rfam family "Bacterial small subunit ribosomal RNA", at positions 524 to 768 of the family's 1533-position model. The record is from RNAcentral. Lineage: Bacteria; Pseudomonadati; Bacteroidota; Chitinophagia; Chitinophagales; Chitinophagaceae.
UACGGAGGGUGCAAGCGUUAUCCGGAUUCACUGGGUUUAAAGGGUGCGUAGGUGGGCCUGUAAGUCAGCGGUGAAAUCUCCGGGCUUAACCCGGAAACUGCCAUUGAUACUAUAGGUCUUGAAUUAUCUGGAGGUAAGCGGAAUAUGUCAUGUAGCGGUGAAAUGCUUAGAUAUGACAUAGAACACCAAUUGCGAAGGCAGCUUACUACGGAUAUAUUGACACUGAGGCACGAAAGCGUGGGGAU